This 1228-nucleotide ribosomal RNA is filed under the name Tectona grandis. Its description in RNAcentral is "bacterial LSU rRNA". It matches the Rfam family "Bacterial large subunit ribosomal RNA", at positions 822 to 2034 of the family's 2925-position model. Lineage: Eukaryota; Viridiplantae; Streptophyta; Magnoliopsida; Lamiales; Lamiaceae. The record is from RNAcentral.
UGAAAGGCUAAUCAAACUCGGUGAUAGCUGGUUCUCCCCGAAAGCUAUUUAGGUAGCGCCUCGGACGAAUACCAUUGGGGGUAGAGCACUGUUUCGGCUAGGGGGUCAUCCCGACUUACCAAACCGAUGCAAACUCCGAAUACCAAUGAGUACUAUCCGGGAGACAGACUGCGGGUGCUAACGUCCGUAGUCAAGAGGAAAACAAUCCAGACCGCCAGCUAAGGCCCCAAAAUUAUAGUUAAGUGGGAAACGAUGUGGGAAGGCAUAGACAGCUAGGAGGUUGGCUUAGAAGCAGCCACCCUUUAAAGAAAGCGUAAUAGCUCACUAGUCGAGUCGGCCUGCGCGGAAGAUGUAACGGGGCUAAAACUAUAUGCCGAAGCUGCGGAUUUGCAAUUUAUUGCAAGUGGUAGGGGAGCGUUCUGUAAGCCGAUGAAGGUGUAUUGAGAAGUAUGCUGGAGGUAUCAGAAGUGCGAAUGCUGACGUGAGUAACGACAAUGCGAGUGAAAAACUCGCACGCUGAAAGACCAAGGGUUCCAGUCCAACGUUAAUCGGGGCUGGGUGAGUCGACCCCUAAGGCGAGGCCGAGAGGCGUAGUCGAUGGGAAAUUGGUUAAUAUUCCAAUACUUCUGUGUAAUGCGAUGAGAGGACGGAGAAGGUUAAGUCAGCCUGGCGUUGGUUGUCCAGGUGGAAGGUUGUAGGCAUGUAUCUUAGGCAAAUCCGGGGUACUCUAUGCUGAGAACUGAUAGCAAGCUGUACUUGUACAGUGAAGUGGCUGAUACCAUGCUUCCAGGAAAAGUCUCUAAGCUUCAGUUACAUAGGAAUCGUACCCGAAACCGACACAGGUGGUCAGGUCGAGUAGACCAAAGCGCUUGAGAGAACUCUGCUGAAGGAACUAGGCAAAAUGGUACCGUAACUUCGGGAGAAGGUACGCUGCCGACGGUGAUAGGAUUUACUCCUUGAGCUAUUGGCAGCCACAGAAACCAGGCCCCUGCAACUGUUUAUUAAAAACAUAGCACUCUGCAAACACGAAAGUGGACGUAUAGGGUGUGAUGCCUGCCCGGUGCUGGAAGGUUAAUUGAUGGGGUUAGCGUAAGCGAAGCUCUUGAUCGAAGCCCCAGUAAACGGCGGCCGUAACAAUAACGGUCCUAAGGUAGCGAAAUUCCUUGUCGGGUAAGUUCCGACCCGCACGAAAGGCGUAACGAUCUGGGCGACUGUUUACCAAAAACAC